AUACGGAGGAUGCGAGCGUUAUCCGGAUUUAUUGGGUUUAAAGGGUGCGUAGGCGGACGAUUAAGUCAGCUGUGAAAUGCCCGCGCUUAACGCGGGAAGUGCAGUUGAUACUGGUUGUCUGGAGUGCCGUUGCCGUGGGGGGAAUGGGUAGUGUAGCGGUGAAAUGCAUAGAUAUGACGAAGAACACCGAUUGCGUAGGCAGCUGACCAGACCGCAAAUGACGCUCAUGCACGAAAGUGCGGGGAUCGAACAGGAUUAGAUACCCUGGUAGUCCGCACAGUAAACGAUGAAUACUUGUUUUCGGCGAUAUAAUGUCGGAGGCAAAGCGAAAGCGAUAAGUAUUCCACCUGGGGAGUACGCCGGCAACGGUGAAACUUAAAGGAAUUGACGGGG
Molecule: ribosomal RNA, 393 nt
Filed under: uncultured bacterium
Lineage: Bacteria
Description: partial 16S ribosomal RNA
Rfam family: Bacterial small subunit ribosomal RNA
Source: RNAcentral